This 274-nucleotide ribosomal RNA is filed under the name uncultured bacterium. RNAcentral's name for it is "partial 16S ribosomal RNA". It matches the Rfam family "Bacterial small subunit ribosomal RNA", at positions 523 to 796 of the family's 1533-position model. The record is from RNAcentral.
AUACGGAGGGUGCGAGCGUUAAUCGGAAUUACUGGGCGUAAAGGGCGCGUAGGCGGUCUAUCAAGUCAGGUGUGAAAUCCCACGGCUCAACCGUGGAGGUGCAUCUGAAACUGAUAGACUUGAGUAUGGGAGAGGAAAGUGGAAUUCCCGGUGUAGAGGUGAAAUUCGUAGAUAUCGGGAGGAACACCAGUGGCGAAGGCGACUUUCUGGACCAAUACUGACGCUGAGGCGCGAAAGCGUGGGGAGCAAACAGGAUUAGAUACCCUAGUAGUCC